RNAcentral lists this transfer RNA (65 nucleotides) under Epeorus bispinosus. RNAcentral's name for it is "tRNA-Thr". It matches the Rfam family "tRNA". From Rfam's summary of the family: Transfer RNA (tRNA) molecules are approximately 80 nucleotides in length. Lineage: Eukaryota; Metazoa; Arthropoda; Insecta; Ephemeroptera; Heptageniidae. The record is from RNAcentral.
GUUUUAAUAGUUUAACUAAAACCUUGGUCUUGUAAACCAAUAAUGAGAAUUUUUCUCUUAAAACU